RNAcentral lists this long non-coding RNA (276 nucleotides) under Homo sapiens (human). RNAcentral describes it as "non-protein coding lnc-TMX4-1:1". Lineage: Eukaryota; Metazoa; Chordata; Mammalia; Primates; Hominidae. The record is from RNAcentral.
GGGAGCAGGGAUGUGGGGUUGCCAAAUCUUCCAAAAUUUUAAGAAGCCAGAAAUCUUGAUUUCUAUGUACAAUCUCCUGGUUUUUAAAUGUGGGCAAAUAAAUCAAAAUUCCCUAAAACACUGUUUGGGGCAACAAUGUGUGGGCCAAAGUAAAUACUUUUGUGGGCUACAAGUGUCCCCUAGGCUGUACAUCUGGGACAUCUGAUUUAUGUGGAAAUUUACCGAGAACUAGUUUUAUUUCUGUGGCAGGUCAUUUUCACUUUCUAGGAUUAUGUU